RNAcentral lists this transfer RNA (92 nucleotides) under Deltaproteobacteria bacterium. Its description in RNAcentral is "tRNA-Ser". It matches the Rfam family "tRNA". From Rfam's summary of the family: Transfer RNA (tRNA) molecules are approximately 80 nucleotides in length. Their secondary structure includes four short double-helical elements and three loops (D, anti-codon, and T loops). Lineage: Bacteria; Pseudomonadati; Myxococcota; Myxococcia. The record is from RNAcentral.
GGAGAGAUGGCCGAGUGGUUUAAGGCGGCAGACUCGAAAUCUGUUGUGCCGCGUUUGCGGUACCGGGGGUUCAAAUCCCUCUCUCUCCGCCA